Long non-coding RNA from Cottoperca gobio, 844 nucleotides. RefSeq lists it as uncharacterized. The record is from RefSeq and is a predicted model, not a curated record. NCBI's taxonomy places the organism in Eukaryota, Metazoa, Chordata, Actinopteri, Perciformes, Bovichtidae. The transcript has 2 exons.
GACUCUCUCUGUGGCCCGCCAACCUAGUGUGCAGCGUGAGCUUGACUGAGCCGAUGGCACGUGCGGACAGAGUGCGGGUUUUUCCGGACGCCGCUGCAGCUCAGAGUGGGAUGGAAACACCUGCGUUUUCACCGCAUUUGGAUUAUUAUUUACCUUCUGUGACGGCCGGGGCCUCAGCUGUGUAUGUCAAGCGGAACUUGCUCUUCUUCCAGCUGCGGUCGUUGCUGAUCAAGGAGUCGUUGGCCUUCUCGAUGUUUACAUCAUCGCCAACACAGAACACAUCACAGGCAGCCUUGACAAGUAACAUCACGGACACAGGAAAGAAGAGGACGAUUAUUCAAAGUGUCCCUCCACACGGGAAUAACAAAGGAUUUGGGAAAUUAUCUCUUGCAUUCAAAGUAGGACUGCGUCCACCAGCUCAAGGUCAUGGAUGGCCAAACAUCUUUAAGUUGCUACCUUGACUGUUGGGGUUGUUUUCAAGGAAUGAGGGGGACUUCUGACUUCAUUUGUGUGGUUUCACAGAAAACAUGGGACCAUAUUUAUAUCAAAACAUAGCAAUGACAAGUAAUCAUCAUGCUAAUCAUGAAUUAAAGUUAAAAACUAUUUGUAUGGUGUGCCCAUUCCAAGAACACCAAUCCAUUUAUUAUGUAUGGGGGUGGGAAUGGUUUCAUGUAAGAAUCGAGAUUAUUGUGUUAUUUUGCGAAAACAUAAAAAAGACAGCUAGCCUAACCCCACCAAUUUCAUUUAUGUAACAGGCAACAUUUUAUUUAUGUUUGUAACUUGUUAUUCUGGAAGUCACUGAGAAUUGAGAAAUUCUCAGGUUGGCCUUUGUGUGUUUACAUUA